AGGGGUGGGGGGUCUCGCGCUUUGGGAAACAUGGACCAUCAGGAGCAGCGAGGCUGCAACGUAGCCCAGGGUGUCCCGAAGCUGGCCCAAACGUGGCCCAUCAGCGUCAUCGGGGCUCUUACAGGCUCCCGAGCCCCUGUCGGUGGCCGAGGAGGGGGGUGGGGGAGGGGCUUGGAAAGAGCACAGACUUGGGUUAUGAUUGCACGGAGGUCCGCCCAUGCAUAUUUUUGGGGGUGGUUUUGGCUUCUUGGCUACUUUUCUAGAGCAGUUUUAGCAAACGUGAGAGGAUCCUCCAGAGAUUUCACACACAUACCUGCCCUUACUGAGGCACAGCCUCUCCCCUGAGCAGGUAUCCGAACCCCCCAUCAGGGCGAGGCCUUUGUCACAGCCCCAAACCUGUGCUGAUGUGUGUCCAUCGCCCAAGGUCCGCAGCUGAGAUCGGGUUGGCCUCUGACGUUGUACCCCAGUGCGUCCGGGCGGGUGCGUGUUGAGGAGUCUCUGCCGGUGCAGCGUCCCACCGGGUAGUGUUUCUUCCCUGACGCAGUAGGUUCCGUUGGUGCUGGCGCCACAGCGCAUUUGCCAGGCGGAGAGGUGGGCGGGAGGCCGGCGGCUCUUGCCGGCGGUAGGAGCCCGCAUGCGCUGUGGAGGGCGAGGGCGGUGCUCUUCUGAGCAUCCGGCUUCUCCCUUGCUAGAAGUCUUCCACCUACGAGGAUGUCGCCCUGGGGCCCCUGUUUCUCCGAAGACCGUCCCGAUCGAGGCAGCGAACACAUUCUUGGAACCACCACCUGGAUGAAGAAAUGGAACCUUACCGUGCUUCCUACCUCCUACUGACUCCCACCGAACGUCCCCCAAAGAGAGCAUGCAUGGGAAGGGGAAGGAGAGGGGGGAAAGCGAGUGGAUCCCAAGCUGACUCCGCACUGUCAUCACAGAGUCUGAUGCGAGGCUUGAACUCAUGAACCGUGAGAUCAUGGCCUGAGCUGAAAUCAAGAGUCAGACGCUUCACCGACCAGAAGCCACUCAGGUGCCCCAAAGA
Molecule: long non-coding RNA, 1033 nt
Organism: Felis catus (domestic cat)
Lineage: Eukaryota; Metazoa; Chordata; Mammalia; Carnivora; Felidae
Exons: 3
Source: RefSeq, a predicted model, not a curated record